AUACAGGUCCCUAGUAAAUUACAAAUAUAUCUCUAUAAACUUCAAUUUUUAUAUGUUGUCCCAGUAAAAGUUCUAAUAUUUUUAAAUAUGUCCCUCUAAUUUGUUACUAUUAAUUAUUAAAACACUUUCUAUUUUAUAACUGAAAUGUUCUUUUUGCCAUCACAAAUAUGUCCCUCUAAAAAUUCUAACUUUUAAUUGAAGAGGAGUAAAAAAGUCAAUUCAUCUAUGAUUAACUAAAUUUUUUUAACGGAUUCUAACGGUAGAGACAUAUUUGAAAACAUCGUGAUUUUUACAGGAACAACAUAUAAAAGUUGAACUUUGUAGGGAUGUUUUUGCAAUUUAUUAUGUUGCAGGGACCUGUAUGCAAUUAACUCUUUUUUA
RNAcentral lists this long non-coding RNA (381 nucleotides) under Ananas comosus (pineapple). Its description in RNAcentral is "long non-coding RNA (ACOM_LNC013165)". The record is from RNAcentral. Lineage: Eukaryota; Viridiplantae; Streptophyta; Magnoliopsida; Poales; Bromeliaceae.